Molecule: long non-coding RNA, 2940 nt
Organism: Terrapene triunguis (Three-toed box turtle)
Lineage: Eukaryota; Metazoa; Chordata; Testudines; Emydidae
Source: Ensembl
CCUCAGUGCUUCCCAAUCCCCCAAAGUUUACGUGUGUUCAGAUUUUCAUGGUUUAGUUCCGAUUCCAUUUCUGUCUGAAAUGGGUGUUUUUGGUAACAGAUGUAAAGUUAAAGAUGUUAGAAGGCAGGUUUAAAAAAAUAUGACUGAUUUUACUAUUUUUUUAAACAUCUCAUUAUUUUUAAUCUCGUGAUAUUUUUAGAUCUAAUUCCUACUUUUUAAAUAUUUGGGACUGGCAGUAGUGGAAAACACACCAGAUUGAAAUGAUCAGCAUUCAGCCUGAUGCCAUGAAAACUAGUCUGAGGAGUGGAAUCAGUGAUGAACAAGGAACCAGCCCAGAGGACCAUGUUAGCCCUUUUUGCUACAGCCUCACACUUGAAGCUCAUGAUCGGGUGGUUAUCUACAGUGAUCCUUUUCAGAGUCACUGCCUUCCAGGAAAGUACCGAGUUCCCUGGGUGGAUAUGUGGCAGGGAAGCACACAGGACAGAUAUGACUUGCCCAGCCAUUGAAGGGUGGUUUCCAGCGGUCCAAAGAACACAUGAAGUGUGCCUCAAAGGGUACUACAAGGAUCUUGUUUCAUUGAGAGCAGCAUGUGACUUCAGCAGCUCUCUGUUUUUAAUGCGUAAUGUAUCAGUUCUGUGCAUGUUUUAAUGCUUUCCCCUAUCCCUUGCAGGGCAGGCUUGCUCCCACUCUUCCUCCUCCACCAGAAGCUGCAAUGCCAAGUGUUCCCCAACACAGUAUCUCAAAACACUUCACAAGCCCCUGAGGUGACAUUCACCUUUGUGCAGGGACAGCACAAGACCUACGUGUGUAUCACUUAAUUCCCAUUUAAGCCCUAUUUUGGCCCAUUGCAUAGGCAUGAAAUGGAUACCAGUAGUGCAGUGACUGUGCAGACAAAUGGAGCAGUGCGAUGGGAACCAGACAUUUUCCAAAACCUUUGGAUUUUUCUCUAGUCUCGGAUUCGUAUACUGUACCCAAUCAAGUGCUAGUUCCUCCAAGUUAAUUAUCUUGAUUAAUAACUUACAUAGCACCUUCCAUUCAACAAUCUCAAAGCAUUUUACAACUAUGAAUGAAUUAUACCUCAACUACUAGGUGUGGUAUUACUAUUUAUACCAAUUUUACAGAUAGCCAAACUGAGACACUGAGAAAUUAAUUGAGUUGCUCAAGAGCCUACAUAGCAAGGACACAGAAGUCAUUACACCAGUUCUCUUACUGUAACCAUUAGAGAACACUUCCCUUCCAGCUCUUAGUUUUCACUACUGGAAUUACAGUGUACAGCACAUGACAGUGCACCUUAGACACUGGGCCAACUUCUACCCUCAAUUAUACUAGUGCAACCCCAUUGAAGUCCAUAGGGUUGAACUGAUGUAACAAUGGAGAGUUUGGCUGGGUAGAAAACACAUUUUUUCAUAGAUUCCAAGGCCAGAAGGGACCACUGUGAUUAUCUAGUCCGACCUCCUGUACAACACAGGCCACAGAACUUCCCCCAAAAUUAUUCCUACAGCAUAUAUUUUUAAACUGUCAGUGAUGGAGACUCCACUAGGUAAAUUGUUCCAGUGAUUAAUUACUCUGAUGGUUAAAAAUGUACACCUAUUUCCAGUCUGAAUUUGUGUAGCUUCAACUUCCAGCCCUUGGAUCAUGUUAUACUUGUCUCUGCUAGACUGAAGAGCCCAUUAUUAAAUAUUUAUUCUCUGUGUAGAUACUUAUAGACUGUAAUCAAGUCACCCCUUAAUCUUCUCUUUGUUAAACUAAAUAGAUUGAGCUCCUUGAGUCUAUCAGUAUACAACAUGUUUUCUAAUCCUUUAAUCAUUCUCAUGGCUCUUCUCUGAACCCUCACCAAUUCAAAUCUCUGCAAAACAUUGUUCUGCAAAAUAAAAGUCUAAUAAAUAUUACUUGUAUACAGUUUAACUUAUUUAGUUCAUCAUGCAAAGCCACCAGUAUCCUAAUGAAUCAAAAAUUAUUUACAAGAAUGUACUAUAUCCAGGGGGAUACUUAAUAAAACAGAAUAUGUAAUCACACUUUAAAAUCAGUUAUUAUUUGUUAUCAUUAGAGAUGAGCAAUAAAAUUCCCAGCAAAAAAAAAUUUACACAAUGAAUUUAGCUUCUUUUUUCUGCCGAUGGGAUAUCCACGAGCAGAUAAUUUCCCUCGUUUUUAUUCUUCAUACAAAAGUGCUUGAUGAUUUUUUGUGUCGUUUUUUGAUGAUUUUUUUUAACUCUGUGGACUGAUAAUGAACCAUUCUCUGUAUCUGAUAUUUGCUAUUUAAGUUGUAUAGCUUAGUUGUGAUUGGUCAGAAAAGUCACAUGAUAUUGUUACGGUCACUGAGUAGAUGAGUGCACAAGCACUUCUAGUGUGAAUACGCACACUUACAAAUUUAAAAACCAUUUUCUGCAACUACUCACACAUACCAUUUCCAAAUGCACUUUUUGUAAAAAUGUUUGUCAAAAAACCUCCGCUGAGUGAAUGCUAACAGAAAGCAAACACAAGAAGGGCUGUAGCAUGACCCAGUUCAUUUAAAAAUACAGACAGAUAUUUGCUGGAAAUUGGUUUCAGUGUUUGCCCUGCUUAGGUUAUUAUUAUGAAAUACUGUAUAAUUGAUAUGAAUGUCUGGGGUUAUCUCGCCUGAUUGUAUCAGCAAAGUAUGGUAUCACUCACUAAUUACUUUUAACGUGAUUUUAGCAGGAGGGCACUGGAUGCUGGAGAACACAGUUGUCUUUUAAAAUACAGCAAAACACUGUCUCAUUAUAAAUUAAACUCCAGACUGGGAGCAGCUAAAAUUCUUAAUGGCUAACUUUGAGCAGGCAGCAUUUUACCAUUAAACAAGUAAAAAUUCAAAACCUGUUUCUUGUGAUUAUCUUACCCAUCAAAGCAGCAUUUUUCUAAAAAAUCAUUUUGUUGCCCUAAUGAGCAUUUAAAUCAUAAAAUAGCUGGCUGCCUGGAGUUCAC